RNAcentral lists this long non-coding RNA (391 nucleotides) under Mytilus galloprovincialis (Mediterranean mussel). The record is from RNAcentral. Lineage: Eukaryota; Metazoa; Mollusca; Bivalvia; Mytilida; Mytilidae.
AUACAUUUAAGGCCACACCAAUUCGAUUCCUUGUUCGACGGACCCGCCCGCACCUAUUUUUUUCAAAACAGAAUUUUUUUAUUUUUUUAUAUUCCCGCUUCCCGCAUCCGGAAAUGUAAUCAUGUCCAUUUCCCGCACCGUUGUUUUUGUGAAUAUUAUAAAAAGAUAUCAACAUUUGUUUUAAAAUCACAGUCUAACCUGUAUAUAACGACUUUAAACAUAAAAUCACCCCACCACAAGGUGUAAAUAUCUGUGAGAAUAUUUGCUUCAGCAUGAAACCUAUUUCAUCCAAAGAGGGAGUGCUCCGAUAUAAAUUUAUAACAGCGCGGAAAUACCCGUAAAGAACAAACAAUUGGUUUCUUUCCCCCUUACUUAUAUUCCCUAUCAAAAC